Molecule: ribosomal RNA, 1461 nt
Filed under: Limosilactobacillus fermentum
Lineage: Bacteria; Bacillati; Bacillota; Bacilli; Lactobacillales; Lactobacillaceae
Description: bacterial SSU rRNA
Rfam family: Bacterial small subunit ribosomal RNA
Source: RNAcentral
GUGUGCUAUACAUGCAAGUCGAACGCGUUGGCCCAAUUGAUUGAUGGUGCUUGCACCUGAUUGAUUUUGGUCGCCAACGAGUGGCGGACGGGUGAGUAACACGUAGGUAACCUGCCCAGAAGCGGGGGACAACAUUUGGAAACAGAUGCUAAUACCGCAUAACAGCGUUGUUCGCAUGAACAACGCUUAAAAGAUGGCUUCUCGCUAUCACUUCUGGAUGGACCUGCGGUGCAUUAGCUUGUUGGUGGGGUAACGGCCUACCAAGGCGAUGAUGCAUAGCCGAGUUGAGAGACUGAUCGGCCACAAUGGGACUGAGACACGGCCCAUACUCCUACGGGAGGCAGCAGUAGGGAAUCUUCCACAAUGGGCGCAAGCCUGAUGGAGCAACACCGCGUGAGUGAAGAAGGGUUUCGGCUCGUAAAGCUCUGUUGUUAAAGAAGAACACGUAUGAGAGUAACUGUUCAUACGUUGACGGUAUUUAACCAGAAAGUCACGGCUAACUACGUGCCAGCAGCCGCGGUAAUACGUAGGUGGCAAGCGUUAUCCGGAUUUAUUGGGCGUAAAGAGAGUGCAGGCGGUUUUCUAAGUCUGAUGUGAAAGCCUUCGGCUUAACCGGAGAAGUGCAUCGGAAACUGGAUAACUUGAGUGCAGAAGAGGGUAGUGGAACUCCAUGUGUAGCGGUGGAAUGCGUAGAUAUAUGGAAGAACACCAGUGGCGAAGGCGGCUACCUGGUCUGCAACUGACGCUGAGACUCGAAAGCAUGGGUAGCGAACAGGAUUAGAUACCCUGGUAGUCCAUGCCGUAAACGAUGAGUGCUAGGUGUUGGAGGGUUUCCGCCCUUCAGUGCCGGAGCUAACGCAUUAAGCACUCCGCCUGGGGAGUACGACCGCAAGGUUGAAACUCAAAGGAAUUGACGGGGGCCCGCACAAGCGGUGGAGCAUGUGGUUUAAUUCGAAGCUACGCGAAGAACCUUACCAGGUCUUGACAUCUUGCGCCAACCCUAGAGAUAGGGCGUUUCCUUCGGGAACGCAAUGACAGGUGGUGCAUGGUCGUCGUCAGCUCGUGUCGUGAGAUGUUGGGUUAAGUCCCGCAACGAGCGCAACCCUUGUUACUAGUUGCCAGCAUUAAGUUGGGCACUCUAGUGAGACUGCCGGUGACAAACCGGAGGAAGGUGGGGACGACGUCAGAUCAUCAUGCCCCUUAUGACCUGGGCUACACACGUGCUACAAUGGACGGUACAACGAGUCGCGAACUCGCGAGGGCAAGCAAAUCUCUUAAAACCGUUCUCAGUUCGGACUGCAGGCUGCAACUCGCCUGCACGAAGUCGGAAUCGCUAGUAAUCGCGGAUCAGCAUGCCGCGGUGAAUACGUUCCCGGGCCUUGUACACACCGCCCGUCACACCAUGAGAGUUUGUAACACCCAAAGUCGGUGGGGUAACCUUUUAGGAGCCAGCCGCCUAAG